GGUAUCUUGCUAAGGGGGCGGACUUAAGAUCCGCUAGACAUACCAGUCUGUGUGGGUUCAAACCCCACAGAUACCA
RNAcentral lists this transfer RNA (76 nucleotides) under Phytophthora infestans T30-4. It matches the Rfam family "tRNA". From Rfam's summary of the family: Transfer RNA (tRNA) molecules are approximately 80 nucleotides in length. Their secondary structure includes four short double-helical elements and three loops (D, anti-codon, and T loops). Further hydrogen bonds mediate the characteristic L-shaped molecular structure. tRNAs have two regions of fundamental functional importance: the anti-codon, which is responsible for specific mRNA codon recognition, and the 3' end, to which the tRNAs corresponding amino acid is attached (by aminoacyl-tRNA synthetases). tRNAs cope with the degeneracy of the genetic code in two manners: having more than one tRNA (with a specific anti-codon) for a particular amino acid; and 'wobble' base-pairing, i.e. permitting non-standard base-pairing at the 3rd anti-codon position. The record is from Rfam by way of RNAcentral. Lineage: Eukaryota; Oomycota; Peronosporomycetes; Peronosporales; Peronosporaceae.